GGGGAUUUAGCUCAGUGGUAGAGCACUUGCCUAGCAAGCACAAGGCCCUGGGUUCAAUCCUCAGCUCCA
RNAcentral lists this transfer RNA (69 nucleotides) under Rattus norvegicus (Norway rat). It matches the Rfam family "tRNA". From Rfam's summary of the family: Transfer RNA (tRNA) molecules are approximately 80 nucleotides in length. RNAcentral also lists the same sequence under 1 other name. Lineage: Eukaryota; Metazoa; Chordata; Mammalia; Rodentia; Muridae. The record is from Rfam by way of RNAcentral.